AAAGGAAAUUGACGGAAGAACACCACAAGGAGUGGAGUGUGCGGCUUAAUUUGACUCAACGCGGGACAGCUUUCCAGGCCCGACGGUCGCAUGAGUGUUGUACACGAUAGGCCGGAGAGUGGUGCAUGGCCGUUAACGACAAGUGGGGUGACCUUUGGGUUAAGUCCGGGAAGUAGUGAGACCCCUGCCGGCGUGCCGGGACAGGUGCGCAAAGCACAGGAAGGAAGGGUCAAGAACAGGUCAGUGAUGCCCUUAGAUGGUCUGGGCUGCACGCGCACUACAGUGGUCGCAGAAAUGGCAGAGGUAGCCUGAAUGGCGAUCGAGAGGGAACGAGCUCUGGAAGGGGCUCGGGAACGAGGAAUUGCUAGUAAUCGUGGGCUCAUAAAGACACGAUAAAAUUCGCU
RNAcentral lists this ribosomal RNA (404 nucleotides) under Trachipleistophora hominis. RNAcentral's name for it is "SSU rRNA". It matches the Rfam family "Microsporidia small subunit ribosomal RNA", at positions 780 to 1177 of the family's 1311-position model. Lineage: Eukaryota; Fungi; Microsporidia; Pleistophoridae. The record is from RNAcentral.